UAGGAGGUGGUGUAGUGGAAGCACCUGGAGUUUUGAUCUCUAGGGCGUGGGUUCGAGUCCCACCCUUCUAA
This 71-nucleotide transfer RNA is filed under the name Gymnorhamphichthys sp. NM-2010. RNAcentral describes it as "tRNA-Gln". It matches the Rfam family "tRNA". Rfam says of the family: Transfer RNA (tRNA) molecules are approximately 80 nucleotides in length. The record is from RNAcentral. Lineage: Eukaryota; Metazoa; Chordata; Actinopteri; Gymnotiformes; Rhamphichthyidae.